RNAcentral lists this ribosomal RNA (661 nucleotides) under uncultured Eubacteriales bacterium. RNAcentral describes it as "bacterial SSU rRNA". It matches the Rfam family "Bacterial small subunit ribosomal RNA", at positions 63 to 730 of the family's 1533-position model. The record is from RNAcentral. Lineage: Bacteria; Bacillati; Bacillota; Clostridia; Eubacteriales.
CGGGAUUUAGUAGACAGAAGCUUCGGUGGAAGAUUACUAAUGAGAGUGGCGAACGGGUGAGUAACGCGUGAGCAACCUGCCUAUGACAGUGGGAUAGCCUCGGGAAACCGGGAUUAAUACCGCAUAAAAUCGUAGAAACACAUGUUUUAACGGUCAAAGAUUUAUCGGUCAUAGAUGGGCUCGCGUCUGAUUAGCUAGUUGGUGAGAUAACAGCCCACCAAGGCGACGAUCAGUAGCCGGUCUGAGAGGAUGAACGGCCACAUUGGAACUGAGACACGGUCCAAACUCCUACGGGAGGCAGCAGUGGGGAAUAUUGCACAAUGGGGGAAACCCUGAUGCAGCGACGCCGCGUGAACGAAGAAGGUAUUCGUAUCGUAAAGUUCUGUCCUAUGGGAAGAUAAUGACAGUACCAUAGAAGAAAGCUCCGGCUAAAUACGUGCCAGCAGCCGCGGUAAUACGUAUGGAGCGAGCGUUGUCCGGAAUUAUUGGGCGUAAAGGGUACGCAGGCGGUUUAAUAAGUCGAAUGUUAAAGAUCGGGGCUCAACCCCGUAAAGCAUUGGAAACUGAUAAACUUGAGUAGUGGAGAGGAAAGUGGAAUUCCUAGUGUAGUGGUGAAAUACGUAGAUAUUAGGAGGAAUACCAGUAGCGAAGGCGACUUUCU